UAUUUGUCCUCGUCCCUGCCGGUCUCAAAAAGGCACUCUGUCACGUGUACACAGGAAAGGGCCCUGACAAGAGGAUGGGACUGCAGUUGUGGCUGCCAGAGCUCCGGCCAGGGUGAAAACAAGGAACAUUCCGGAGAAGAUCACAAGGAUGCGAAUAAAAUCUGAGCUGCACAGGGAUCUUUGGGCUGUGAUAGGAGGGGACACACAGGGGUUAGGGGAGGGUCUAGCCCUUGGCUCCCUCAGCCCAGCCCUCCUGUCACCUUGCCUUUCCCCUUUCCCCCACCUUCUAUCCCACCCGCCACCGUUGGCCAACUCCUCUCCUAAAUGGUGGACUCUGCUUUUUCCCCUCCUCUUAUCCCUACUCCUAGGAGCUUUCUGUCUGGCUUCCCUCCUGGCCCCUCCUGUAUGCAUUCUCUCUAGCGGUGGGGAUUAAGGAGAAAACUCACGUGGCCAGUGGGUAGAGAGAGUCUGGGCAGGCAGCUGCCUGAAGUCAGCCAGAGUCUGCAUGUGCCCAGCUGUCCUGGCCUCCAGCAUCUCUGGAAAAACAGAGACAGAAUGAGUAGCAGCAGGGAACCCCAUAGGGCACAUCUGAAGGCCUGAGAGGCACUGGAUGGGAUGGGAAGGCAGAAACAGGCUGACCUUAUCUAGGGGUAGGAGUGGGGAGUACUGGUUGGGGUAUCACCCCUACCCCACGUGAUGGCACAGAGAGUUGCCUGGAACUUACCACUGACAUAAGGUUGGAGUGCAGUGGCACGAUCUCGGCUCACUGCAACCUCCGCCUCCUGAGUUCAAGUGAUUCUCCUGCCUCAGCCUCCCUAGUAGCUGGGAUUACAGGACAAGCAGAGGGACAAAUUCCUUCUUGGCAUCCUUAUGGCCCCAUGACCUGCUAAUGAAUGCUGACUCUGAGUGGCUACUAGAAUUUGGUUUCCUUAUGGCUUCCCAGGAAUUGGUCUCACUCUGCUCACUGGUACAGUCACGGCUCACUGCAGCCUCUACUUCCUGGGCUCAAGUGAUCUUCUCACUUCAGCCUUCUGAGUAGCUGGGACUACGGCCCCCUCUGCAGCUCUUCAUGGGGGUCCACUCAAGUCGGAAGCCACAUCUGGGUGUGAUUCAGAGAGCUGUUUAUGCAAAACCACCCUUGUUACCAUCAGGCAAGGCACCUGAAUUCCCACCACAGCGAGUGCUGUGGCCCUGAGGACUUUUCUGUCACCAGCCAUUUCCAGGUAGACCCAGUGUAAUCACAAGCAUCCUUGUAAGUGGAAAAGAGGCAGAGGAGACAGCGCCAGAGAGGCAGCUGCAUGAGAAGGAUCAAUGAUAUUGCUGACCUUGAAGCUGGAAGAAGAGGGCCAUGAGCCCUCAGUAUGUGGGUGGCCUCCAGAAGCUGGAAGGGGCAAGGAGUUGGAUUUGACCCUAGACCCUCCAGGGGCAGUUGCACCUGCCAACACUGAUUGUAGCCUGGUGAGGCCUGUUUUAGACUUCUGACCUGUAGAGCUGUAACAUAAUACAUUUGGGUUGUUUUCAACCACUAAGUUUGUGGUAAUUUGUUAUAGCAGCCGUAGAAAAUGAAUACACGUGAAUCCUCUGGCAUUUGUUUGAGAUUUGCUCUGUGGCCUAGUGUGUGGUUGUAAAUGUUCCAUCUGUGCCUGAAAAAAUGUAUAUUUCUAAUGUAGUAGUCUCUGCUUUUUUUUUAUUUUGUACCCCACCAAUAAAAUGAUUUUCAGCAUGUAUCCCCAAAUAAA
This 1739-nucleotide non-coding RNA is filed under the name Pongo abelii (Sumatran orangutan). Lineage: Eukaryota; Metazoa; Chordata; Mammalia; Primates; Hominidae. The record is from RNAcentral.